GUCCACGCCGUAAACGAUGGAUACUAGCUGUUGGGAGCGAUCUCAGUGGCUAAGCGAAAGUGAUAAGUAUCCCACCUGGGGAGUACGUUCGCAAGAAUGAAACUCAAAGGAAUUGACGGGGGCCCGCACAAGCGGUGGAGCAUGUGGUUUAAUUCGAUGAUACGCGAGGAACCUUACCAAGGCUUAAAUGUAGAUUGACCGGACUGGAAACAGUUUUUUCGCAAGACAAUUUAGAAGGUGCUGCAUGGUUGUCGU
RNAcentral lists this ribosomal RNA (255 nucleotides) under uncultured bacterium. Its description in RNAcentral is "partial 16S ribosomal RNA". It matches the Rfam family "Bacterial small subunit ribosomal RNA", at positions 793 to 1055 of the family's 1533-position model. The record is from RNAcentral.